Molecule: ribosomal RNA, 695 nt
Filed under: uncultured bacterium
Lineage: Bacteria
Description: bacterial SSU rRNA
Rfam family: Bacterial small subunit ribosomal RNA
Source: RNAcentral
GAUGAACGCUAGCGGCAGGCUUAACACAUGCAAGUCGAGGGGCAGCAUGAGACGGAGAUUCGUCGAAGUCUUGAUGGCGACCGGCGCAAGGGUGCGUAACGCGUGAGCAACUUGCCCGUUUCAGGGGGAUAACCGGUGGAAACGCCGACUAAUACCCCAUGGUAUGUUUUUGAGGCAUCUCUUAAACAUUAAAGAAUUUCGGAAACGGAUAGGCUCGCGUGACAUUAGCUAGAUGGCGGGGUAACGGCCCACCAUGGCGACGAUGUCUAGGGGUUCUGAGAGGAAGGUCCCCCACACUGGAACUGAGACACGGUCCAGACUCCUACGGGAGGCAGCAGUGAGGAAUAUUGGUCAAUGGUCGAGAGACUGAACCAGCCAUGCCGCGUGAAGGUCACGGCCCUAUGGGUCUUAAACUUCUUUUGUAAGGGAGCAAUAAGUCUCACGUGUGGGAUGAUGAGAGUACCUUACGAAUAAGCAUCGGCUAACUCCGUGCCAGCAGCCGCGGUAAUACGGGGGAUGCAAGCGUUAUCCGGAUUUAUUGGGUUUAAAGGGUGCGUAGGCGGUCUGGUAAGUCAGCGGUGAAAUUCAGGGGCUCAACCUCUGCCGUGCCGUUGAUACUGCUGGACUAGAAUGCGGAUGCCGUGGGAGGAAUGUGUGGUGUAGCGGUGAAAUGCAUAGAUAUCACACAGAACACC